CAAAAAGCAUCCGACUGAACCAGUCGAGUUUUUCGGUCACCCUAGCUCGCAACCCGAUCUCUGACUCCAUCAUCUCCGAUCUCCUUCGACCUGUCCAGAUCCGAUUCCUCGCCAAGUUCUGCCAGAUUGAGCCCUUCCCCAAAUCAGCUUCACAGCAGUGAUUGGGUUAAGCUAAGACUCGAUAUAAAGAGUAUAUCUCCGCCGUGUACUGCUUCGGACACCCGUGAUUUAUCGUCGCGGAUCUGAGGCAACACUAAUUUACAGGUGAACUCGCUUCAUUUGUAAAGAUCCGACUUAGUUCGUAUCAUUUGGUGCUUUCUUAAAGUUGAACUCUAACAAAUGGCUAAUAGUAGAAAAUUAUUGAAUGAAAUAGUACGUUCCACCAUUUCUACAUCUCCAAAACGCAUCCGACUGAACCAGUCGAGUAUUUCGAUCACCCUAGCUCGUAACCCGAUCUCUGACUCCAUCAUCUCCGAUCUCCUCCGACCUGUCCAGAUUCGAUUCCUCGCCAAGUUCUGCCAGAUUGAGCCCUUCCCCAAAUCAGCUUCACAGCAGUGAUUGGGUUAAGCUAAGACUCGAUAUAAGGAGUCUAUCUCCGCCGUGUACUGCUUCGGACACCCGUGAUUUAUCAUCGCGGAUCUGAGGCAACACCAAUUUACAGGUAAACUGGCUUCAUUUGUAAAUAUCCGACUUAGUUCGUAUCAAUAUACACCCUAUUUAAAAUUUUCAUUUUCUCAAGUUUAGAUUUAAGAGCUUAUAUAUUGAUGGUGUGUGUACAAACAGUUGCACACACAUUCAACUCUCUCCCUCUCUCUAGUAUCGGUCUUUUCUUAUGUUAUCAGCCCCCUCCCCUGUUGGACCAAGGAAGGUAUUUAUAGGUUACACACAACCCUCCUGGACCUCCCUUGGCCCUGGCCUUUCGUGCGGUCGGGCACAUGGUCCGCGGCCCUUCGUGCUAUCGGGCCCGACCGCGGUUGGUUCGGUCCACGGUUCGUUGGACGGGAACACACAUUGUAUGGCGGAAGUCCCCCAUCGAUACUAUUUUACCAAUGACGGAUGUCAUAUUAUACAUGGCGGAUGUCCGCCAUCUUUUAAUUUUCAGUUUCCGUGAAAAUUUUUAAAUUCGAUGGCGGAUUUCUGCCAUUUAUAUUCUUUUUUUGUGGAAAAUGAAGAUGAAUAAUAGAUAACGAUCUUUAGAUGACGGGUAUGGGGUUAUAAUGACGGUUAUUGAAAUGACAGUCUUAAGAUGACGGAUUUUCAUCAUCGAUCAUUUAUGACGGCGGAAAUCCGUCAUGUAAAAACCGUCAUACAAGGUUUUAUUUCUUGUAAUGAUAGCACAUUUGAACCGAGCGUAAUAAACGGUGUAUGGAGGAAAAGACGAAACCAUCGGAGGUAGUUGCGUGCGAAUUCAUAAAGGACCUCGCAAUCGUCUUCAACAAUAGUAACUUUAAGAGGAAAAACAGGAAUCUAUCAGAGGAAUUGGCGGUGACAAGUUGGAGGGCAACCACGCUCGCGAUUCAUUUCGUUAACAAGGAGUAAUUACUAUAGGAACUCGUUGUGGUAAAUUAGCCACAUUGUUCAUUAAACUUCAGGGGUUUGUUCCAUUUACAUAUUUAAUAUAUUUGCCUUCAACCUGAAAAAAAAGCACAAACAUGCAGAGACACCAACAAAUCCACAAUUCAAUCAUCUCAUUCUUGUAACCCAAGAAACUGGGGAAAGCUUGGGUAUUUUGGUUGCCAUCCAAUUUCGGCACGAGUCUUUGAGUUAUUUAACCUCUUUCCCAAAGGACCACUAGUCCCUGCAUAAUUAAUUGAAUGAGGAAACCAAUCAAUCAAAUCUCACCAUCGAAUGAAUUCAUGAAAAACAUAUAUGUGCUUGAUGUAUAGUUUACCAGUAAACGACUGGAACUUCAUGCUGAAUUUCCCACUUUGAUCAACAUAGUCCAUUAUUUCCUGCCUGAACAAUCAUAAAAUACCCUACUUCAAUCACCAUUCAUCGAUAAUAACCAACUCUAUACUGCAGAUAUAUUUACUGUUAUGAGAACCUGGAGAGAGGAAGAUUAUCACAA
Molecule: long non-coding RNA, 2068 nt
Filed under: Zostera marina
Lineage: Eukaryota; Viridiplantae; Streptophyta; Magnoliopsida; Alismatales; Zosteraceae
Description: long non-coding RNA (ZMAR_LNC002247)
Source: RNAcentral